CCGGGCCUACGGGAGGCAGCAGUGGGGAAUAUUGCACAAUGGGGGAAACCCUGAUGCAGCGAUGCCGCGUGGAGGAAGAAGGUUUUCGGAUUGUAAACUCCUUUUAUCAGGGACGAUAAUGACGGUACCUGAAGAAAAAGCUCCGGCUAACUACGUGCCACCAGCCGCGGUAAUACGUAGGGAGCGAGCGUUGUCCGGAAUUACUGGGUGUAAAGGGAGCGUAGACGGUUAAGUAAGUCUGGAGUGAAAGGCCGGGGCCCAACCCCGGGACUGCUCUGGCAACUAUUGAACUUGAGUGCAGGAGG
This 305-nucleotide ribosomal RNA is filed under the name uncultured bacterium. RNAcentral describes it as "bacterial SSU rRNA". It matches the Rfam family "Bacterial small subunit ribosomal RNA", at positions 331 to 655 of the family's 1533-position model. The record is from RNAcentral.